GAAGUGUCGAUUCCCCUUCCUCCCUCUUCCUCUUUGCCGUCGAGACCUCACCGCCACUCCUCCCUCUCCCUAUUCUCAUCUGUCGUCUCCUCUUCUCUCCCUCUCGCGAUUCUCCCUGUCUGAUCGCCGGCCGCCCGCGAGUUCACCUCCAAUGGAGGUCUUCUCCUCUAUCGUCCCUCACCUCCGCCACUCGACCUUCCUCUCCCCGAUUUCCACUUCGUCGCUGGCACAGAUUCAUCGCCGCUCUUCGCCGGAGUCACUUCAAUCGAAGCCACCAACCACAACAAGCUCUCGAUCUGCCAUCGCCGACAGUCGAGCGGUGUUCUCUGUACCCCUCGGUGCUGAGCCCUCACGACUCCACCGCACGAUGACGCCGCUGCCGAUCUUGUGUUCCGAUUUCCACUCUACCUCAUUCUCCUCUGCCGACUCAAGCCACUUGCGGAGUGAUCCCGGUGUCCUGGUCCAGUGUCAGACCUCUCCCUUGCGCGUCUCUGCCGACUCCAUUGCUGCAAGCUCUACUGGGCUGUGCCCUAGCUUUGGUUAACUCUGCGUCGCUACAACCACCAGUCUGGUGAAGAUCAUGUGUUCGAUGAAAUGCUUAAUUCCUCUUGCUGUCACUGUUCGUGUCGUCAACGCUGUCAACGGCCACCAUAUUCAGUGAGUAGUUGUUGGAUUAAUGAACAACCCUGGAGAAGAAGAGGGAGGCAUAGGAGGGAUAGUGAUUUCAUCUUCUCUGGAGGAGAGUUAUACCAGCUAUGGUCGUUAGCUGAGCCAUCAAUUUCGGUGAGUGGUUAGUAUGGAUUUAUGUGUAGUUUAAUCUAUUGGAUUGUGGAUUUAGUUAGUUGGUGUGAGUAUUUAUGCUUGGAAUUGAUUAGUGGAUGAAUAAUUUAGUCAUGGAUUAGUUAUUUGAAAUGAGCUACAGAUUGGGUUGUGGGAUGAUAAGAGGUUAUGGAUUCUUAAUCAGAUUAAUGUUAAGGUGACUAUUUGGUUCAUGAUGGAUUUAGCUAACUAGUUCAUAUUUGACUUAGUUAUAUUAUGCAUGAUGUGAUUUGCAGGACGUUGAUUCGAGACUAGCGUCUCGGUAUGAGAUUAUUUAGCAUGAUCAUUAGAUAAAGGCGGGUACUUCUUGCUUUAUCUCUUUAGUACAUUAUUUUUAGUGCAUGAGCUAUACCUUCGGAUAGUUUCUGUAUUUAUCUUGACUCCACUCAUAUUUUUCCUGCGUUUGAUACUUCCACUCAAUCUUUGAGCUACUCGUUUCUGUAUCUAUACAGUCUCUCGUUGUUAUCCAUGAUAUUUAGCAGAUACCGAACACCAGAUACUAAUUACUAGAUACUAGAUAUAUAGAUACCAGAUACCAUGUUUACUUGCUUUGACUGCUAUUUAUUCACGUUUCUUAUUGAGCAUGCUGGCUUCAUAUAGCAUACCUGUUUCUAUUUAUAUAUAUAUGAUGACUGUUACAUUGUUUGCAUCAUGUCAUUACAUGCAUUGUCGACGACUUUGGCUCCCUUGUGGUUGAGACGGUCGUUGGCUUGGGUCGCACGCUCGGCCACUCAUGGGUAGUGGUAGCUAAAGCGUGUCGCAUGUCUUGUCGUGCCCCCACUCGCACACUCAUGGGUAGUGAUAGCUGGAGUCGCGGGCAGCAAGGACCCCCGUCGCAGACAUAGCUAUUCAGCUACUAUGCAACUGUCCCCUCGGCCACUCGAAAGUAGUAGUAGUUGGAGUGAUGUACAGUCUGCUAUUGUCCCGGCCUCUCGACCAUACUGGGGUCAUGGUACAGAGGGGUGGGCGGGAGUGACCAUCCGUGCAUACGCUGUUAUUAUUAUACUUGCUGUUACUGUUGCUUAUUUAUGCUGUUAUGCUUACAUAUGUUAAGAUAUACAUCUGUUGUAUGGGUUUAGACACUGACUCACUUAUUGGUAUUAUGUAUAUACCUCACAUGCUACUCUUUUAGUUAUGAGCAGUACCGUAGCAGGUAUGUACUAUUCCCGACCUUACUAGUCUAGGAUAUGGUUUCAGGUAUGGACACUUAUUAUGAUAUCAUUGUAGUAUCUGUUAUAUUCCCUACGAGACUGUAUACCUUUGUAUCUCUAGUUCUUUACUAUUCUCAUGCACUAUCUGUCUAUU
This is a long non-coding RNA of Zingiber officinale, 2124 nucleotides long. RefSeq lists it as uncharacterized. The transcript has 3 exons. The record is from RefSeq and is a predicted model, not a curated record. NCBI's taxonomy places the organism in Eukaryota, Viridiplantae, Streptophyta, Magnoliopsida, Zingiberales, Zingiberaceae.